GCUAAGUUGGUAAAAGCACAAGGCUCUUAACCUUGUGGACGUGGAUUCAAGUCCCAU
Molecule: transfer RNA, 57 nt
Filed under: Triticum aestivum (bread wheat)
Lineage: Eukaryota; Viridiplantae; Streptophyta; Magnoliopsida; Poales; Poaceae
Also listed under: 1 other name
Rfam family: tRNA
About the family: Transfer RNA (tRNA) molecules are approximately 80 nucleotides in length. Their secondary structure includes four short double-helical elements and three loops (D, anti-codon, and T loops).
Source: Rfam by way of RNAcentral